UGAGGAAUAUUGGUCAAUGGGCGGAAGCCUGAACCAGCCAAGUAGCGUGCAGGAAGACGGCCCUAUGGGUUGUAAACUGCUUUUAUACGAGAAUAAUUUGAUGCACGUGUGCGUUAUUGCAUGUAUCGUAUGAAUAAGGACCGGCUAAUUCCGUGCCAGCAGCCGCGGUAAUACGGAAGGUCCAGGCGUUAUCCGGAUUUAUUGGGUUUAAAGGGAGUGUAGGCGGUUUGUUAAGCGUGUUGUGAAAUUUAGAUGCUCAACAUUUAACUUGCAGCGCGAACUGUCAGACUUGAGUACACGCAACGUAUGCGGAAUUCAUGGUGUAGCGGUGAAAUGCUUAGAUAUCAUGAAGAACUCCGAUUGCGAAGGCAGCAUACGGGAGUGUAACUGACGCUUAAGCCCGAAGGUGCGGGUAUCGAACAGGAUUAGAUACCCUGGUAGUCCGCACAGUAAACGAUGGAUGCCCGCUGUUAGCGCCUGGCGUUAGCGGCUAAGCGAAAGCAUUAAGCAUCCCACCUGGGGAGUACGCCGGCNACGGUG
RNAcentral lists this ribosomal RNA (540 nucleotides) under uncultured bacterium. Its description in RNAcentral is "bacterial SSU rRNA". It matches the Rfam family "Bacterial small subunit ribosomal RNA", at positions 355 to 896 of the family's 1533-position model. The record is from RNAcentral.